AUUGAACGCUGGCGGCAGGCUUAACACAUGCCAGUCGAGCGGGGUGAUGGUGCUUGCACUAUCACUUAGCGGCGGACGGGUGAGUAAUGCUUAGGAAUCUGCCUAUUAGUGGGGGACAACAUCUCGAAAGGGAUGCUAAUACCGCAUACGUCCUACGGGAGAAAGCAGGGGAUCACUUGUGACCUUGCGCUAAUAGAUGAGCCUAAGUCGGAUUAGCUAGUUGGUGGGGUACAGGGCUACCAAGGCGACGAUCUGUAGCGGGUCUGAGAGGAUGAUCCGCCACACUGGGACUGAGACACGGCCCAGACUCCUACGGGAGGCAGCAGUGGGGAAUAUUGGACAAUGGGGGGAACCCUGAUCCAGCCAUGCCGCGUGUGUGAAGAAGGCCUUAUGGUUGUAAAGCACUUUAAGCGAGGAGGAGGCUCUUUUGGUUAAUACCCAAGAUGAGUGGACGUUACUCGCAGAAUAAGCACCGGCUAACUCUGUGCCAGCCGCCGCGGUAA
Molecule: ribosomal RNA, 503 nt
Filed under: uncultured bacterium
Lineage: Bacteria
Description: partial 16S ribosomal RNA
Rfam family: Bacterial small subunit ribosomal RNA
Source: RNAcentral